AGAGUUUGAUUCUGGCUCAGGAUGAACGCUGGCGGCGUGCUUAACACAUGCAAGUCGAACGGAGUUUUAAACGGAAGUCCUCGGAUGGAAGUUUAGAAACUAGUGGCGGACGGGUGAGUAACGCGUGGGUAACCUGCCUCAUACAGGGGGAUAACAGUCGGAAACGAUUGCUAAAACCGCAUAACAUAGCGAAACCGCAUGAUUUUGCUAUCAAAUAUUUAUAGGUAUGAGAUGGGCCCGCGUCUGAUUAGCUAGUUGGUGGGGUAAUGGCCUACCAAGGCGACGAUCAGUAGCCGGCUUGAGAGAGUGACCGGCCACAUUGGGACUGAGACACGGCCCAAACUCCUACGGGAGGCAGCAGUGGGGAAUAUUGGACAAUGGGGGAAACCCUGAUCCAGCCGACGCCGCGUGAGUGAAGAAGUAUUUCGGUAUGUAAAGCUCUAUCAGCAGGGAAGAUAAUGACAGUACCUGACUAAGAAGCCCCGGCUAACUACGUGCCAGCCGCGGC
This 508-nucleotide ribosomal RNA is filed under the name uncultured bacterium. RNAcentral describes it as "bacterial SSU rRNA". It matches the Rfam family "Bacterial small subunit ribosomal RNA", at positions 8 to 518 of the family's 1533-position model. The record is from RNAcentral.